RNA transcript from Phragmites australis (common reed), 2692 nucleotides. RefSeq lists it as uncharacterized. NCBI's taxonomy places the organism in Eukaryota, Viridiplantae, Streptophyta, Magnoliopsida, Poales, Poaceae. The record is from RefSeq and is a predicted model, not a curated record. The transcript is spliced from 14 exons.
AAGAGUCUAGACACCAGCUUGAAAAAGGGGAGGGUAAGGAAAAAUUUGGAGUGAAGCGGAAGCACCGCGCGGGAGGGUAUAACAGAGCGGCGUCGCGCGAGAGGGAAGAUUUCAAAAUUUUGGGGAGCAAAUUAUGUGGCGCCGGCGUGCAUUGGUAGCUUUUCGCGGAGGCGCGGCGCCAUGAUAUGUCCCUCUUGCUCUCGCUGCCAGAAUUGCCACAUUAAACAGCUUCCUUGCCACGAGAGCCAUUCGGAAACGGAAGAAAUCCCCGUACAAGCCUUUCACACCAGGGCAAUUCAGCACUCCAUUUCAUUUCGAGUCUGAGAGUCACCGCGACUUAGUUUUCCCCUUCCCCGAGCUCGGCGGCGGCAGUGCCUUGGGAUGGCCGCAUCACCGGAUAGUAACGGUCUGGAGAGCGUGGCCGCGUUGCUGGAGCCGCAGCCGUUGGAGGUCAUAGCGCCGGAGAUUAAGGCGAAGAAGCGCAACCCGGCGCCCGGAGUCCGGGUUGUUGGCCGCCGGAUCUACGAUCCGGAGAACGGCAAGACCUGCCAUCAGUGCCGCCAGAAGACAACGGACUUCGCGGCGGCGUGCAAGCAGGUCAAGAAAAAGGGGCCCUGCCCAAUCAAGUACUGCCGCAAGUGCCUCCUCAACAGGUAUGGCGAGAAUGCUGAGGAGGCGGCAGGGAAGGAGGACUGGAUCUGCCCCAAGUGCAGGGGCAUCUGUAACUGCAGCUUCUGCAGAAAGAAGAAGGGUGAGAUGCCAACCGGAAUAAUGGCCCACAUCGCUAAGGCUUCCGGGUGCACCUCUGUCCAUGAUCUCCUUGAAAAAGGGCCAGACGUGGUGGCUGCUGCGCAGGCGAUACUCAAGGUGAAUGGUAGUGAGAAGCAGGGCACAAAGAGGGCCCGAGGAACUGAUGCUGCUGCCGUGGAGGUGGCAGUUGAACAGGAUGAAAAUAUUGGCAUUGAUCUCAAUACAGUUCCGGCGGAUGAAGGGGAUGAAAAUAUAGGCAUUGAUCUCAAUGCAGUUCCUUCUGUCCGUAUCAAGAAAAGGCUGAAGCGUCAGCACAAUGUAAAGAAGAAUCCUGCUGAUGAAAGGUCCCAUUGUGGAGACAAUGGUGAACCUUUGCCGAGGGAUGAGUGCCCUGAUGCUCUUGAUAAUAACAUUGUGCUGCCCAGGGGUACUCCGGUCACUAACAUUGCAGGCGCACAGGUUGACGAUGAAGAUGUUGGGGCUGCUAUUCAGUUUUAUGAGUUCUGCCGUGCAUUCGCAGAGAUUUUUCAAAUAAAGAAAGGGCAACCAGAAAGAAUUCUUCAAGAUAUAGUUGGAGGUCGUGAACUUCGGUUGGUAUCCUCACUUGUUGCCGAGUUUCACAUAAAUUUGUUAUCUGUCAUUCAAGAAGGAAGGGGGAAGAAGCCUUUGGCUUAUACAAGAGAUGGAGAUGCAUGGGUAAUUGACGUUGGCAAAUAUAUCACUGAAUCAAUGUUUAUGUCAAAAGAAUUGCCUCUCAACUGUUUAAAUCAGGGAGUAUCGGGAUAUAAAAACUUGAGCCCUUCUUGUAAGCUGCGUGUUCUGAAUUUUCUGUGUGAUGAGACCCUCUCUGCCGACAAGUUGAGGAACUGGAUUGACAUGCAAAAUGACGUAGCUGCUGAACCAAUGAAUGCUGCCAAAGAGAAAGCACGUGCUGCAAAAGAAAAGGAAAAGGAGCUAAAGGAAAGGCUAAAGAAUAGCAUGGAUAAAACAACACUUCCAAAUGAAGCAGCAGCCCCUAGCAUUGAAGAAAAUAAGGAUCUUAUUUCACAAAUAAAGGAGGCACAGGAAGUCAAGCGUGCAGCCAUAAAUGAUAUGGCAACAAUAGAGAAGCAGGGAGGUGAUCUUUGGACCAAGCCUCUGAUGGUAGAGAAAGGGGUAGCAUAUUGGAAGCUGGAUGGCCAUUGUGAUAACACAUCAAUAUUGCUCCAAGAGUAUGGUGAUGGAUUGAUGGGAAAUAAAGACAAGUGGUUUAUGUUUACUGAAGAUGAAGAGAAAGUAAUUGAGGAACAUAUAGCCACAAGGGCUUGACGAAGGGUUCCGUUUCCUCGAUGAAGGGUUGGAGAGGAAGUUUCAUUUCUCCCCUUCACCUAUAUAAAGAACCUAAGGGGUCAAGGGUAGGGGUUGACUCCUUCCAUCUCCAUUUCUCUCUGUUUGCUUGGAAUGAACCCUUUUGGUGCUGUAGCUGGAAAUAGUUUCAACAGGUCCAGACAAUGGAGAAAGCGCAUCCGGGUAUAAUAGUCUACUGAUCUUAGUCUCUGGGUUGUUCAACUUGCUGAAGGUGGAUGGGCCUAGCCCUAGCUGAGACCUGGCACUGGCAGCCUUCCUUCGCCAGGUGGAUGGCUUGUUUUUGCUAUAGAGAAGUACAGUUAGAGAAUAACUAAGAACAUUUGAAGAUUCAGUGAAGCAUUUAAAAUUAAGCUUAUGCCAUGUUUUGGCAAGAUGAGAAUGCAGGGAAGCUUUUGUAACACAGGUGUAGUUUCCUAAAUGUACCGAAAUUGACAGGAAAGCUUGCAGUAUGCUGCUUUAUGCAGCAUUGUAACUUGAAUUUGGUAUGGUACAUUAUACCUGUUGUAAUUAGUUAUUUUGUAAUCUGAAGCAACAAAUUAUAACCGAUAUGUAUUGUUGGUCUUUGAUGGUAUGGAACUCGAAUUUUAUUAGGAAA